ACCAGGCACAGUGGUGCAUGCCUGUAAUCCCAGCAUCUUGGGAGGCUGAGGCAGGAGAAUUGCGAGUUCAAAGCCAGCCUCAGCAAAAGCAAGGUGCUAAGCAACUCAGUGAGACCCUGUCUCUA
Molecule: small RNA, 125 nt
Filed under: Marmota monax (woodchuck)
Lineage: Eukaryota; Metazoa; Chordata; Mammalia; Rodentia; Sciuridae
Source: RNAcentral